UGGCGAAUGAAACGGGAAAAGCCCAAAUUUGAAAUCUCCUAGCGUYAAGCUAGGCGAGUUGUAAUUUGUAGAAGGUCUUCAUCUGAACUGUGUUUGCUAAAGUCCAUUGGAAAAUGGCGGGCCUUUAUGGUCCUCAAGUCGUAGAGGGUGACAACCCCGUUCUUGGCAUUCUACUAGUUCUUUUGUAUGAUUCCUUCAAAGAGUCGGAUUGUUUGGGAAUGCAAUCCAAAAUGGGUGGUAAAUUCCAUCCAAGGCUAAAUAUCAGCAAGAGACCGAUAGCGAACAAGUACCGUGAGGGAAAGAUGAAAAGAACUCUGAAGAGAGAGUUCAACAGUACGUGAAAUUGCUGAAAGGGAAACGCUUGAAACGAUUGUUGCUUUUGGUUUCGGCCUUGAGCGAGUCAGUAGCAGUUUUAAACGGUAAAGAAGUGCUUGGAGAAGGUAGUUUUCUUCGGAAAAUGUUAUAGCUCCARGUAACUGUGCCGGUUARGACUGAGGAUCGCUUUUAAGUGYCUUGUCGAGGAAUUUUGGGCCGUCAGCGCCAAGGCCUUGGGCUUGCUCAAGACUUGGUGUUGGCUGUUCAGGACGACCAAACACAAGGCCUUAGAAUAGGUUACUGACAAAAUGGUUUUAAUCGACCCGUCUUGAAACACGGACCAAGGAGUGCAACAAAUUUGCAAGUCGUAGGGUGACAAACCUGAAGGCGCAAUGAAAGUGAAAAAAUACCACCCAGUAAAAUGGGACAGUAUUGCCCGGUCUUGCGGCUACCGCCAAAGGAUCUGAGGUAGAGCAAAUUUGCUGCGACCCGAAAGAUGGUGAACUAUGCCUGCAUAGGGCGAAGCCAGAGGAAACUCUGGUGGAGGCUCGUAGCGAUUCUGAACGUGCAAAUCGAUCGUCAAAUGUGGGUAUAGGGGCGAAAGACUAUCAACCU
Molecule: ribosomal RNA, 930 nt
Filed under: Allomyces macrogynus
Lineage: Eukaryota; Fungi; Blastocladiomycota; Blastocladiomycetes; Blastocladiales; Blastocladiaceae
Description: LSU rRNA
Rfam family: Eukaryotic large subunit ribosomal RNA
Source: RNAcentral